This 140-nucleotide small nucleolar RNA is filed under the name Callorhinchus milii (elephant shark). Its description in RNAcentral is "Small nucleolar RNA SNORA42/SNORA80 family (ENSCMIG00000018228.1)". Lineage: Eukaryota; Metazoa; Chordata; Chondrichthyes; Chimaeriformes; Callorhinchidae. The record is from RNAcentral.
GCACGGCUAAUGGAUUUAUGUUUGGAUUUGUCCACUGAUCCUUUCAUAGUGUACUCCGUUCUAUAGCAAAUCACUGAACCAAACCAUUGACCGGCCUGAAUAUCCCGUAGGCCUUGAUCACUGAUGGGUGCAGUACAUUC